AACAAGAAGAACAAACAAUGCAACAUAAAACCCCAUCUCCGUCCGUUGUUUAUAAAAAUCAUCCCAUCUCUCUCUCUCUCUCAGAAGAAAUCAGUACUCUCCUUCUCUCUCUCUCUCGAACAAAAACAAAAAAACAAAAACAAUGAGAAGAAUGAAAGAACAGAAUUAGGGUUUAUGAUUCGAUGACCCAAACAACUAAUUAAACAACGAUGUCAAUGGUCGCGGAGAUGCUUCCAAGAAUCAACAACUGAUUCAUUCUAUAGUGUGAUUGAUAGGUGUUUAAUUGACUCAUUCAGUAGAAUACGUCAACACAAUUCCUGUUGCAGGAGGAGAACACUUUUCACCGUCUCCAAUGUCUGUCAACGAGAAUGCUCAUUAAAUUAAGUCACGAAUUCGGAUUUUGAUCUAUGUAUUUGGUUUUUGUUUCGUCUUCUUGCUCCUUAUGCUUCAAUUUUCCAUACUUCCAAGGAUGAUGAGGAUGGUGGUGACCCAAGAGUGUCUUCUCUUUCUUUUGGGGUUUUUAACAAGAAGAGCCAAGAAUCAGUAUACCUGGAAGGAAGUGUUCCUGUUGCAGGAGGAGGAGGAGGGGGUUAGGGUUAAGGACCCUUUCCACCAUCCCCUUGUCAAUGAGAUUGUUUAAACUUGAAAAUUGAUUAUGGUUUCUUCUAAUUCUAUAUGUGGAGGUCAGAGAGAUGGAUUGAAGAAUGAACGAGAAGAAUGAUGACCCGAACAGCAUCAACAUCAAUCAAUGGUAAUCCCCUUCUUUGUAAGUUCAAUUCCUGUUAAGUUUUGUUUUUCAUUGAUUAAAAAACGUACAUCACUGUCUCUUCUCAUGAUCGUUAUCCGAGGAGGAGGAGGACUUGAUUUCAGGACCAAGUACAAGCUUAAAAGUUACUGGGUUUUUCUUAAAAAAACUUUUCACUUUUGCUCUUUAUAUAUAACUACAAUUUAACGAUAGUUCUUUUGCUAAUUCCAUGUGCAGAUCGGUGGAGAUGGUUUGAAGAAUGAAUGACGUUUCAGACCUUGGGGAUCUAGAGUUUAUUUUCUGGUUUUCUCAUUAAGGUUGUUGUUUGAUUCAAACUUGAAAGCUAACGUUGGUUUUCAUCUAAUUAUAUAUAUGUGCAGAUCAGAGAUAGUAUGAAGGAUGAAGAAGACUCUGACGGCUUAAGGUUUUAUUUCAAUCAUCAACACAAUCCAUACAAAGAAAGUCGUCUUCAGUGAUCCUAAUGGAAGUUAUAGGAUACGCUGAAUUCUGAGUUAUUGUACUUGGGCUCCCAUCAGCUGCUUCAUGGCAAGAUGUGAAGGAUCAAAUGCGGAAAGCUGGUGAUGUGUGCUUUGCUGAGGUCACUCGAGACUGUGAUUAGCUGUUCGUGCAAAUCUCCUCAACGCUACCACCGGUAACAACGUACCCAGUACCGAGAUCCUUCCCGAAUCAGCCACCAGCCUCACCCGGCUUGUGUUGGAAGAUUUAGAGUAGGAGACAAAGUAUUCUGACUUCAUUUGUUGGAAUUUCCACCACACUAUGAGUAGUUUUGAAUUUAUAUCAUCAGCUUUGCUAUGUAGAUGUUAGUAUGAAUACUCAGCUCAAGGCCGUGAAACUAACUCUGAAAGGGAAAAACCCCCGGUUACAUUAAGUGUUAUGGGAAAUAACAUUCGGUAUUAUGUUCUUCCGGACGGACACUUUAAAUCUCGAGACUUUGUUGGUUGAAGACACACCAAGAAUCAAGCCUAAAAAACCAACUGCUGGUGGGAUGUCGACAGGUCUAGGGCGGGGUCGUGGACGUGGAUCCCAAGUUUUUUUAGUCCUUGUUAUGACAAUAGACUAAUAGAGGAUUGUGUGUUGUUUAUGAGGCCAAUCUCCUGAAGUAUGAACCGAGCAAACAAAAUUAAGAUUUCAAACCGGGUUCAGAUUUAUAAUACUAAACCGACUGGGAACAUGUGCAAAAGUACAAACAAUUUUUGGUUUAGAUAAAACACAGGAAAUAAACAAAAUUAAGAUUCUA
This is a non-coding RNA of Camelina sativa (false flax), 2003 nucleotides long. Lineage: Eukaryota; Viridiplantae; Streptophyta; Magnoliopsida; Brassicales; Brassicaceae. The record is from RefSeq and is a predicted model, not a curated record.